AUGUUUCCUUCUCUUUAUUUCAGUUUUGUUCCUCAGUCGUCAGAUCGUUAUGAAGAAACCAAGUUCUUUGGGAAUCUGUUCUGUGCAGCAGCAGAGAGAGAACAGCAGACGGGAGAGAAGAUACUGGAGCUGUUAUCAUCAGUGUGCAGCUAUAAAACAUUCCCUCUUAAAGAGAAAUGGUGGGAUUUCCUGCUGGACCUUUACUCUUAUUAUUGUGAAACAGGCUUGAGUGUCCUUCCAUCAUUACAGUCAGUUCUCCAGUCAGCUCCUGCAGUCUGGUCCAUAAACCUCUCAGAGAGAAAGCCCUCCAUCCUCCUGGAAGUGCUGAAACUCCAAUCAGAGAAGAAACCAGUGGAGCUGACAGGCUGCUCAUAUGAAGAGAGUGAAGUGAGGAGUUUCCUACAGUGUCUGCCUUAUAUCUCACAGCUCAGUGUCUGUUACUGGUUAAAAGGUGAAGCCAAGUUCUUUGGGAAUCUGUUCUGUGCAGCAGCAGAGAGAGAACAGCAGACAGGAGAGAAGAUACUGGAGCUGUUAUCAUCAGUGUGCAGAUAUAAAACAUUCCCUCUUAAUGACAGAUACAUGGAUUAUGAUGCCAAUAAACAUCAGUGUGAUGUCCUGCUGGAUCUGUACUCCCACCUGAAGGACUAUGAGACUAAAACAGGCUUGAGUGUCCUUCCAUCAUUACAGUCAGUUCUCCAGUCAGCUCCUGCAGUCUGGUUCAUAAACCUCUCGGAGAGAAAGACCUCCAUCCUCCUGGAAGUGCUGAAACUCCAAUCAGAGAAGAAACAAGUGAAGCUGACAGGCUGCUCACAUGAAGAGAGUGAAGUGAGGAGUUUCCUACAGUGUCUGCCUUAUAUCUCACAGCUCAGUGUCUGUUACUCGUUUGAAGGUGAAGCCAAGUUCUUUGGGAAUCUGUUCUGUGCAGCAGCAGAGAGAGAACAGCAGACAGGAGAGAAGAUACUGGAGCUGUUAUCAUCAGUGUGCAGAUAUAAAACAUUCCCUCUUAAUGAAGAGGAUGAUGAUGUUGAGGAAUAUCAGUGUGAUUUCCUGCUGGAUCUUUACUCCCACCUAAAGGACUAUGAGACUAAAACAGGCUUGAGUGUCCUUCCAUCAUUACAGUCAGUUCUCCAGUCAGCUCCUGCAGUCUGGUUCAUAAACCUCUCAGAGAGAAAGCCCUCCAUCCUCCUGGAAGUGCUGAAACUCCAAUCAGAGAAGAAACAAGUGAAGCUGACAGGCUGCUCACAUGAAGAGACUGAAGUGAGGAGUUUCCUACAGUGUCUGCCUUAUAUCUCACAGUUCAGUGUCUGUUACUGGUUUGAAGGUGAAGCCAAGUUCUUUGGGAAUCUGUUCUGUGCAGCAGCAGAGAGAGAACAGCAGACAGGAGAGAAGAUACUGGAGCUGUUAUCAUCAGUGUGCAGAUAUCAAACAUUCCCUCUUAAUGAAUGGGAUUAUGAUUAUGAGGAAUAUCAGCGUGAUUUCCUGUUUGAUCUUUACUCUCACCUGAAGGACUAUGAAACUAAAACAGGAUUGAGUGUCCUUCCAUCAUUACCGUCAGUUCUCCAGUCAGCUCCUGCAGUCUGGUCCAUAAACCUCUCAGAGAGAAAGCCCUCCAUCCUCCUGGAAGUGCUGAAACUCCAAUCAGAGAAGAAUCAAGUGGAGCUGACAGGCUGCUCACAUGAAGAGAGUGAAGUGAGGAGUUUCCUACAGUGUCUGCCUUAUAUCUCACAGCUCAGUGUCUGUUACUGGUUUGAAGGUGAAGCCAAGUUCUUUGGGAAUCUGUUCUGUGCAGCAGCAGAGAGAGAACAGCAGACAGGAGAGAAGAUACUGGAGCUGUUAUCAUCAGUGUGCAGAUAUAAAACAUUCCCUUUUAAUGACAGAAACAUGUAUUAUCAUGUUGAGCAAUAUCAGUGUGAUUUCCUGUUGGAUCUUUACUCUCACCUGAAGGACUAUGAGACUAAAACAGGGUUGAGUGUCCUUCCAUCAUUACAGUCAGUUCUCCAGUCAGCUCCUGCAGUCUGGUUCAUAAACCUCUCAGAGAGAAAGACCUCCAUCCUCCUGGAAGUGCUGAAACUCCAAUCAGAGAAGAAACAAGUGGAGCUGACAGGCUGCUCACAUGAAGAGAGUGAAGUGAGGAGUUUCCUACAGUGUCUGCCUUAUAUCUCACAGCUCAGCUGUGAUCCAGAGUUCUUCCAGAGUGUGUGUACGUUGAUCUCUGUAAGAUCCAGAGAGGAUGAGGAGCAGUUGUCCUCUCUGCUGCAGCUCCUGGGGUACACCCUGCAGUUAACAGGAGAGUUACACACAGGAACCUGCAGGUCUGUGGGCAGAGUUCUCAGACUCUGUGGAUCUGAUGUGGAUCUCAUCCUCAAACCCAGAAAGAUGUCUGUCAGAGGAGCCUCCCUCCUCUUCAGACAUACAACACAACUACACAGUCUGAGCCUCUCCAGUGACAUGGCCUUGCUACUGUUUCAGUGGGUAAGAAGAGGGCGAGCAGCAGGUCUGUUAGCUAUUGAAGAGCUUUCUCUCACCCCUCAGACAGUCCAACCAUCAGAAAGAGUGUUGUUGAAGGUUGUCAGUAGUUUGGCCUCCCUGCUGAGAUACUGGAGCGUCAGACAGUUAGACCUGACUGAGUUCUACGUCCCUGCUCAGGGUCUCAUUCCACUGCUGCUCCACCAUGGUCCUCUAACAAUCAAACUGAGGGAGAAGAUUUCCCUGCAGCUACUCUCCCUGAUCCAUGAAAUCCAGGACAAGGACUUGACCCAGUUGUUCUUGAGUAAGGUUGGUGGAGACCUGAGCUCCUGCUGUCUGAACUGGGAGCUUCUUCACUGUCUGCUGCAGCAGUCUUUAGAUCAGAUCAUCACUGUGAACCUGAGGAAGAACCGCUUCUUACAGGAAAACGUCACACGUCUGCUUCCCUUUCUGGACAAGAUUGUAGUUAAAAGGCCCUGUCCCAGGUUUGUGUUGACUGCCAUCAGAGAGAUCUAUAAAGCUUGUGCCAGUCCCAUUAUACCCAGUUUACUGAGGUCACUGGAUCAUGUGAUCAACCUGACCUGCAGAGAGAUGGACUCGGUGGACUGUGCUGCUCUGCUCUUCACCCUCAAACACAGUGACAGAGUUAAACUGAACCUUGUGUUUACCUCCAUACCAACAGGACAAAUAGAGUCCAUCCUGUUUACACUGGACAAAGUUUCUCAACUCAGUGUUGACAGGAAUCUCUUGCUGAGGUUCAUCCACUGUUGUGCUGCCUCUGACGCCCAGCAGGGGGCAGCAGUCGGCCUGCUCAGGGCUUUGCAGCACAGGCUGGAUCUGUCCUGCUCCUCCUGUGUGGAUCUGCCAGAGGAAGGUCAGAGUGAGACUCUUAGUCUGACUGCUGAGGACUGCAGGGCCGUCUCCACCAUCCUGAGACGCAGCAGCAGCAAGGACACACAGCUCAACCUGCAGGACUGUGAGCUGGAGGACAGCAGACUGGACCUGCUGUUUCCUGUCCUCGACAGAGUCCGCCUCAGAGCCAGUAAAGCUCUCCUCCUCCAGCUGCUGUCUCUGGUUCCUAUGAAAACUGAGAGGGACACAGUGAGACGGGCAGUGUCCCUGUGUAGAGCCCUGGGUGGAGAGCUGGACCUCAGUCACACCACACUGGAUCAGAGGGCCUGUGAAGCUUUGGCCCAGAUGCUGGACUUCUCUGAAGGGCUGACUGAUCUGGACCUCAGUCACUGUGAGCUCACUGACCAGCUGCUGUUCACACUCAUCACACAUCUGCACAAAGUACAAGUCUUAGAUCUGAGUCACAAUAAGAUUACUGAUGCUGCAGCUCACAUGUUACUCCAACUGGUCUCCAUCAACCCCUCCAUCGACACUGUGCGACUCUUCAGCAACAACAUUGUGAACAGAAAUCCCUUUAAGAAACACCAGCAGUUUGAAAUAUGGUGA
RNAcentral lists this long non-coding RNA (3924 nucleotides) under Dicentrarchus labrax (European seabass). Its description in RNAcentral is "lncRNA (ENSDLAG00005026876.1)". The record is from RNAcentral. Lineage: Eukaryota; Metazoa; Chordata; Actinopteri; Moronidae.